CAAAUAAUUUAUUAACCAAAGUUUUUGAUUAAACAAACUAAUUUGCAAUUCUUACCUCAUUCAUUUUUUAUUUACAACCAAUGUCAUUUAGUAAACCUAUUCCGAUAUCAUAUUUCGAUGGUAUAUUUUUCGUGAGCUCUUCUAAUGUUCAUACUUGUGUAACUAAAUCUUGUAUCUUAUAACGGGAUCAUUUCCAAUGAUUGACUGCAUACGUUUAAAAAUAUUUAAAAUGAAGUAAAACCUUCUAGUGUAAUUGCCAAUUGGUAUACAUAUUUUUAAAAUUGUUAAAAUGAAACGAACAGAAUACAGUUUUUAGAACUUUUCCCGUUCUAUUAUGCCAUCAUCAGUGAAACCUGAAAGUGUCCCCAAAAAUCCAGGAGAAACAAAUAUUGGUGAAUAAGAAGGCCAUUAGAUGCUGCAUCUCCUUCCAAUCCAAUGCCGCGGAAAAUGUUGGUCUAAAUAUGCACAAAUAAGUAAAGCGUAAGGCGGAAGAUCACCGUCCUGUUGAAAAGUCAAGUGAUCAUAUUGUUGAUCAUUUUCAAUAAUAUCAGUAAAGGCAGAAUCACUCACAUCUUUCAGUAAUUUCCAGUCAUAUUUCCGGGUAAAAAAAUGGUCUCUCUGUCGCCCAUCAAAAACAAUACUGUUAAACUGUGUACACCAAUAACAUGUUUCAUAACCUAACCACAAACCCAAAAAACUGAUCGGCAAAUAAAAUCAUGCAGCUAUGCAUAUUCAAGUCAAUCAACACAAUAGGGAACUUGCACAUUUUUUUUAAUACAUAAUAAUGUUCAGUUUUGUAUAAAAAUGAGAUUUCCAAAAUUUCACGCUUCAAAACCUCAUAAUAACUUAGAAGUACAAAUUUAAAGUCUUCGGUAUUUUAAAUUAGUUCGAACGGCACGUGACGUCACCUAGUUUUACAUUAGUUAUUAUUAUGGUUAUAUUUCGCUGUGUCUAGGUAAACGCUAACGUGUGCGCAAAUAAAAAAGUUAGGUACAUACAGUUGAGUCCGCGAGUCUUUACCCGUGCGUCAUUAAUACCUGGCGAGAUAAAACACAUACUUUUUAUUUAGCAUCAUUCUCUUCCACGCAUGAAACUCAUGACAAACCAGCUGCCGUUUGUUAUUAAGUAAAAACACAUGUUAUUUUUAUGAACCAUCUAGACUCAGUGCAUUGAAAAGAGAUAGGUACAAAAAAAGACGAUUCGGUAUGUUUUCAUAUUUUAAGCACAAUUUGUUUGACGUUUACGCGAAUUAAACUUCAUCAAGCCAGUGACGUCAUUAUUUAACGUACGCAGUGACUGUAUAUUUUGAGGGAAGCAGAACUAUUCAGAUGUUUCAAACUUAAUUGUAAUAAAUAUAUAUAUAUAUAUAUAUAUAUAUAUCCGGGGUGUCAUAUCGGCUGACGCCGCAUCCCCACACCUAACCGCCAUCUAUUUCUAUCCUGGGCAUCUUCCUCUUCCAAAUCUCGGUGUUCCAUGGCCUUCCUUAUCGUGUCAUUCCAGGAUAGUCUUGGUCUUCCCCUUUUCUUCCUACCUGGGGGUUUCCAUUUCAGGAGUUUCUUUGGCCAUCGUUGGUCGUCCAUUCUAAGUAAGUGACCGGUCGGUCAAUUGUAAUAAAUCAAUGUAUAUAAUAAAAGUAUAUAUUUAGGUUAGCAAAAUAAAUAUAUGUAUUUAGUUGACAUGACACGUACAAAAUAUUGCUAAAAUAAUUUUUAUACGUAAGUUAAUUAUUAUGUAAUCAACUAUUCUAAAUGGGAAAUGAGCCACAAUUUAACUAAAAAAAGAUUUUAUUAACGUUUCGACGUCCAAAUCGGAUGUCAUUGUCAAAAUACAAAUAUUAGUAAGAUUAAAUAAAUUAUUAAAAAAAAUUUUUUACUAAGCAAGAACAUUUUUUUUAAUUUAAUAAUAUUUUGUAUUUUAACAACGACGUCCGAUUUAGACGUUGAAACGUAAAUAACAUCAUUUUUUAGUUAAAUUGUGGCUUAGUUCCCAUUUAGAAUAGUUGAUUACAAAAAUACCACAAGGAAAUAGCUUCAUAACAAGUUAAUUAUUAUUGUGAAAGCUUUAGGUCUUCCUUUUAUUUUAAUUUUGGACGGUAAUACUAAAUAUUGUAUAUACUAAAUUGUAACAUAUUGUACUAUAUUGUAAUACUAAAUACUGUAUUUCACUUAUAACUAAAAAAACAUACAGGGUGUAACAAAAAUACAGGUCAUAAAUUUAAUCACAUAUUUUGGGACCAAAAAUAGUUCGAUUGAACCUAACUGACCUUAGUACAAAUGUGCACAUAAAAAAAGUUACAGUCCUUUGAAGUUGCAAAAUAAAAAUCGAUUUUUUCCAAUAUAUCGAAAACUAUUAGAGAUCUUUUAUUGAAAAUAGACAUGUGGCAUUCUUUUGGUAGUAUUAUCUUAAGAAAAAAUUAUACUGAAAUUUGGACACCCCAUAAAAAUUUAAUGGGGGUUUUGUUCCUUUAAACCCCCCAAACUUUUGUGUACGUUCCAAUUUAAUUAUUAUUGUAGUACCAUUAGUUAAACACAAUGUUUUAAAAAAAUUUUUGCCUCUAAGGACUUUUUCGAAAAGUCAGUUUUUAUCGAGAUAUUUUGAAUAUUUUUCAAAUCCACCACAUAUUUGUAUAUAUGGCUAAGUACGAUUAUGGAGACUUGGUAAUAAUAUGAAAAUUUAUUUAUGAUUUACAUUUUUAGGUAUAUUUUGAACCAUAUUAAAAAAUAAGUAAUAUCUCGAUAAAAAGUGCCUUCUUGAAAAAAUACAAAGAGGCAAAAAAGUUUUAAAAACACUGUGUUUAACUAAUGGUACAGCAGUAAAAGAUUAAUUGGAACAUACACAAAUAUUUGGGGGUUUAAAGGAACAAAACCCGCAUAAAAUUUGUAUGUAAACAUAUUAAAAAACAAGCCGCAACUCGAUAAAAACUGCCUUAUCAAAAAAAUACUAAGAGGAAAAAAAGUUUUAGAAAUAUUGAAUUAAACUAAUGGUACCACAAUAAUAAUUUAAUUGGAACGUACCCAAAAGUUUGGGGUGAUUUAAGGGAACAAAACCCCCAUAAAAUUUUUAUUGGGUUCACAAAUUUUACUAUAAUUCUUUUUUAAGAUUUUCCUGCCAUAAGAAUGCCACAUGUCCAUUUUCAAUAAAAAAUCUCUAAUAGUUUUCGAUAUAUUCGAAAAAAUCGAUUUUCAUUUUGUAACUUCAAAGGGCUGUAACUUUUUUUAUGUACAUAUUUGUACUAAGGUAAAUUAGGUUCAUUCCAACUAAUUUUAGUCUCAGAAUAUGCGAUUUAAUUUAUGACCUGUAUUUUCGACUAAUUUAUAGUCUCUUAACUUUUUCAUACUGUUUUAAAAUGUUGUUAAACUCAUUAAAACAACUAAAUAAUUGUCCACACUGCAUAGUUAAUUUAAAAACAAACACUAAACAAAUAAGAAAUAAGAAAUCUCUUUACUAAUCAAUAUUUAAAUUAAAGUAUAAACACAACGCAAUUAAACAAAUUCCAACACUCUGACACUAACUUUUUUAUUUGCGUACACGUUAGCGUGUACCUAGACACAGCGUUAUAUUUAGGUAUAUUCUUCUUUUCCUUCUUUAGUUUAUUGGCCUCCACCUACUUGGGUAUUUGGCCAGCUCGUCGUAGGGUAAUAAAGGAAAAAUAUUUAUAUUCUAAUGACAUUUAUCGUAUGUCGUUGUAAUAAUAUAUACCAGUUUGUUGAGAUUGGAGUUUGAUACAGUUUUUGAAGGAAAGAAAAGAAGGUUUACUAUUGAAAAUAAAACCAUUGUGUAAAAGUAAAAAUUUUCUAUGAAUAGUUCAAAACGAACAAAAACACUUUUAAUGUCACAUAACUGUAUUUUUUACUGACGUUUAUAAUGUCUAAUUAAUUUUGUUUACUUUUGGUGUAAAAUGUAAAUGCAAAACCAUAUGACGUCACGACGUGUUUUUUGCUGGCUGGAAUAUUUGAAUUUUUAAUCGUCUUUAGGGGAAAAACGAAAGACAAACAAAACUUUUUUAUCAUUGAUACAUGUUUUAAAUUAUGUUCUGUUGUGAAUUAUAACAUUUUUUUCCAAUUUUAAAUUUUAUGAAAGUUCCCUAUUGGUUGUGUACAAACAUUGUAAAAAGCAAUAGUUGGCAAAUACUUUGGCAGGUAUAACUUUUAUACUGGACUAUCUCGUUCAAUAUAUUUUUAUAAUAAAUAAAAGCAUAAUUUUUGAAAACUACAUGCUGUUUUUUUAGAUUUAUAGUAAAAAAUCAAUAAUUGUUUAUUACCUGCUAGUUCUUCGCAAGAUUUUUGUUUGCCUCCGAAAUCACUUGGCAA
Long non-coding RNA from Diabrotica virgifera virgifera (western corn rootworm), 4310 nucleotides. RefSeq lists it as uncharacterized. The transcript has 2 exons. NCBI's taxonomy places the organism in Eukaryota, Metazoa, Arthropoda, Insecta, Coleoptera, Chrysomelidae. The record is from RefSeq and is a predicted model, not a curated record.